RNAcentral lists this long non-coding RNA (1770 nucleotides) under Daphnia pulex (common water flea). Its description in RNAcentral is "uncharacterized LOC124203118". The record is from RNAcentral. Lineage: Eukaryota; Metazoa; Arthropoda; Branchiopoda; Diplostraca; Daphniidae.
CAAAAACGCAAUCGAUUUUAAUCGGAUAUUUUUGAAAAUAGAUUCAAAAUGACGAGCAAACUCGGCGGAUUGAAAUGAUGUAACUUGAUUAGCAAUCCGACGUCUGUAACGUGACCUAACAGUUCGUUGAAAAAUUUUCAAGGUUACACGCACAGACGACCUGUUCUGAAACACCGGAAAAUAUGGCUGGAGGCGCUUUUUUCCUACCCCUCCCCUCGUGCUGUGCUACCCCUGUGCCCUUUUAACCUUGUGUUAAGUGCGUGGACCUUCAGUCACAUCGCUCUUGUCCUUGGAGAAGCGUCUCUCUCUCUCGCUCUCUACAUUCUUCGAUUACCCGUCUUUCGUGAUAAUCACAAUCAAGGUAAGACCCAUUUUCUAUCAAAAUUGAUUUUGUUGGUGUGUCGGGUUGUUUAGAGAACCCAUAUUGAAUCGGAACAUGUAAUCCAUCAGCUGGGGCUUUUUUUAAAAUGUGAGUUUUAAAUUUUAUUUUUCUCUUGUAGAGUAGUGACACAAGUGUGUGUGUGUUUGUCGUGUCAGUCCUUUUAUUUGCUUUUCUGGUUUUGUUCUUUUUCUUAUUUUUGGGUCUUGUGGUUUUUUUGUUUUGUUUUUUUACGAGACGGAAAGGAAAAAAAUAAAAAUAAAUGUUGUUGACAGACCCAGAUGCAACUUCUGUGGCCAAUUUUAGCAAAAAUGUAUUAAUUUAAUUGCCCAGAACACGCUGCCUGGAAGCUGAAGUCUAGAAAUAUGUCCGAAGAAGAGUCUCGCCCUUCUAGGUAAAAAAUCAAAUUUCGCCUUCGCUUUUAAUUAACUUUCGUUAAAAUUAAUUUUCGUGUGGGACCUGAGCCCGGAAAUCGAGACGCACACGCUCCGCGAUGCCUUCGCUGCUUUUGGAGAGAUAUCACUUUCAAUUGCCACGUGAACCAGCUGGCCUCAGCGGAUCUGACGGACGGUUUUACCUCUAUGAUCUUUAUCAUCCUGGCGUUCAAUUUUUAACUUACCAGCAUGGGGAUGGCGAUUAACGUGAGCCUCCUUGUUGCCACGAUUUUUAAGAUUUUAAAUGCGUGCUGGGUCCUUGCAGUCAACUCGGACAAGAAGGAAAAUAGGGGAAUGCUCAAAUGGCAGUGCCUGUCUUCGCCAAUCAUCGCAGGGUUGGUCAUAGUCUUCAGUGGUGGGCUGGCAAAAUUAUCCACUGAUGGGGGGUUUUUCAAAAACGCAAUUGAGGACAGAUAAUUUGUUUCUUUUGUAUGCGGCGGUGGAAUAGAACGCCUAGUAUCCAGUUUUUCUUUCUUUGAUUAUUCCUGACUGCUGGUGUACUAAUGAUUGGUAGUACUAUCAGAAAUCGGAGAAAAAUCGUCGAGAAAAGGAUUACUUGAUAAAUCGUUCUAUCACAGUGCAAAAUAAUGACAAAAAGCAAUUAUUUUGAUUAAAUAUAUAAAUAAUGUAAAUAUAUAUUUAAACUUUCAUUACUUGUUUUCAAAAUGAUUAAUUAAAAUGAGUAAAUAUUGUUAUUCUACUUCAAAAUGCAAAGGACAUCAACACUUUCAAUGUGUUCUUGAACAAUAAAAAGAUCUACACAUAACUAAAAGAAAAUGUUGGAGUGAUGUGUACUGCAGUUUAACCCAUAAUAAAAUUACCUAUUGCUUACAAUGAUGCCAUUUUAGAAAAGGAUACAAUUCCUGCCAGAUUCCUUGGGGGGGGUGAAAGUAUUGUAACUAAAGCAGACUUUGACUACUACCUGACGAAACACAAUAAAGGCUGAAGAACACUGAA